ACAGCCCCCAAAGCUCACGAGUGCUUGUGCAGAACUCAUGAAGCUCUUUCUCCUCGCUGCUUCACAGGAGGGUUUUUAUUUUCCCCCAGCUUGGAAUUCAGUUAGCAGCCGUUUUCCUGCAGAAAGUGCAGGAAUUGGCCAGCGUUGGAGGGGUGCAGCCCUUCCCCGCUCCCCCAAGGUGCUGGGGGAAAUCCCACAGUUCAUUUUUCCUGGCUGCAGAAUGCCUUUUCCUUCGCAUUCUUCAGCUCGCAGGUACUUCAUCACCACGUUUCCUAUUCACAUGUCUGGUCAUUUCACUCGUGUCAGGGCUCCUUAACUAGGAAAUAUCAAGAUGUUUUCACCCUGGAAAGCUGGGAAGCGUGUAAUUAGCCACCCAGGUAAUAAAUUACCUGUGCUGGCGACAGCCCACUGGGGAAACCUUUAUUCUCCAUCUCAUCCUAUUAUGCUGAGCCAAUUUAGCACAUCUGUAGUUGUUUUAAAAUAGUCAUUUCAAUGGACUCCGAGAAAAGGAGGCUUAUUAACAACUUAGCUGCCAGGAGGAAAAUGGGAGGGACAGCAGCUGCCAUGGAGGGAGAAGUUUGGUUCUGGCUGGAGGACAAAUCCUGCUGUGCCUCCAGCUCCUUUCUUGGACCACAGCGUGGACAAAGCUCUGGGAUCCCCCUCCAGCCUUCCUGGAGCCCCCAGAGCAGAGGGGCUGGGGAACAUUUGGCCAUGGAUGUGGGAGAGGAGUGGGGGAUUUGGGCUCCUUCAGUCACCCCAGUGCUGUCCCACCCCUCCCCUGCUCUCCCCAGCACAGGACAGAGCUGACAUUCAGCUGGGGAGGUUCCCAGAUGUCCCCAGCCGGCAGAGCUGUCCCCUGUGCUUGUUCAUCCAUGAUCCCCAGCUGCAGGGCCCCAGGGCUCUGCUCCUUUGGGAAAUCCAUCAGAGCCUGGCUGGGAGGGGCUCUGCAGGUGAGAGCUGGGCUGGGCAGCUGAGCCCGAGCGCAGAGCACCACAGGUUGUUCCAGCUCCUCUCUCAUAUUUUCACCCUUUGCAAAUGGAAAAGAGCAGCAGAACGUUCCAAAGCCCUGACCCUGAGUGACUCCCUGCAAAAUUCUUCUGAAACCGCUCGCCAGACCUAUCUCCAGUCAGCCAGUUCCUGGAAAAGCAGGUCACACCCCAACACCUACACCUGCUGUUCCAAAGGAUUUUUUCAUGCCUCUGGAGGCCAGCAGUGGCUCUGCCACAAGGAAUGUCCCAAGGAAUGUCCCAUUCUAUCCCAGGGAACUCGCAGGGUGUGGAGCCAGGGGUGUGAAGGCGCUGAUUCCCAGGGUGCCUGUUCCAAGGCUGGUGCUCCCCCUCUCCCCUCUGGCCAGAUGGCUCCUGGCAGCAGCCUCUCGUCACAUCCCCAGCUCUGGAAUCGCUCCGUGCAUCCUCUGCCUUCUGCUUUUGUCAAACGGAUCAUUGACCCCACUUUCCCUCAUUGUCUUUGA
RNAcentral lists this long non-coding RNA (1471 nucleotides) under Cyanistes caeruleus (blue tit). RNAcentral's name for it is "lncRNA (ENSCCEG00000011170.1)". The record is from RNAcentral. Lineage: Eukaryota; Metazoa; Chordata; Aves; Passeriformes; Paridae.